This 445-nucleotide ribosomal RNA is filed under the name uncultured bacterium. Its description in RNAcentral is "partial 16S ribosomal RNA". It matches the Rfam family "Bacterial small subunit ribosomal RNA", at positions 354 to 796 of the family's 1533-position model. The record is from RNAcentral.
GUGGGGAAUAUUGGUCAAUGGACGAAAGUCUGAACCAGCCAUUCCGCGUGCAGGAAGAAGAUUCUAUGGAUUGUAAACUGCUUUUAGCAGAGAAGAAACGCCUUCAUUGAUGAGGGUUUGACGGUAUCUGCGGAAUAAGCACCGGCUAACUCCGUGCCAGCAGCCGCGGUAAUACGGGGGGUGCAAGCGUUAUCCGGAAUCACUGGGUUUAAAGGGUGCGUAGGCGGGAAAUUAAGUCAGUGGUGAAAGUCUGUUGCUUAACGAUAGAAUUGCCGUUGAUACUGAUUUUCUUGAAUUGGGUUGAGGUUAGCGGAAUGUGACAUGUAGCGGUGAAAUGCAUAGAUAUGUCAUGGAACACCAAUUGCGAAGGCAGCUAGCUGGGCCUUGAUUGACGCUGAGGCACGAAAGCGUGGGUAGCGAACAGGAUUAGAAACCCCUGUAGUCC